Molecule: transfer RNA, 76 nt
Filed under: Camelus bactrianus (Bactrian camel)
Lineage: Eukaryota; Metazoa; Chordata; Mammalia; Artiodactyla; Camelidae
Also listed under: 2 other names
Rfam family: tRNA
About the family: Transfer RNA (tRNA) molecules are approximately 80 nucleotides in length.
Source: Rfam by way of RNAcentral
AGGGGUAUAGCUGAGCGGUAGGUAGAGGGUGUACUUGAAGUGUACAAGGUCCUGGGUUCAAUCCUCAGUGCCUCUG